Molecule: ribosomal RNA, 437 nt
Filed under: Wolbachia endosymbiont of Aphis nerii
Lineage: Bacteria; Pseudomonadati; Pseudomonadota; Alphaproteobacteria; Rickettsiales; Anaplasmataceae
Also listed under: 1 other name
Description: bacterial SSU rRNA
Rfam family: Bacterial small subunit ribosomal RNA
Source: RNAcentral
CAUACCUAUUCGAAGGGAUAGGGUCGGUUUGGCCGGAUUUCACACAGGUGUUGCGUGGCUGUCGUCAGCUCGUGUCGUGAGAUGUUGGGUUAAGUCCCGCAACGAGCGCAACCCUCAUCCUUAGUUACCAUCAGGUUAUGCUGGGGACUUUAAGGAAGCUGCCAGUGAUAAACUGGAGGAAGGUGGGGAUGAUGUCAAGUCAUCAUGGUCCUUAUGGAGUGGGCUAUACACGUGCUACAAUGGUGAUUACAAUGGGCUGCAAGGUCGCAAGGCUGAGCUAAUCCUAAAAAAUCAUCUCAGUUCGGAUUGUUCUCUGCAACUCGAGAGCAUGAAGUUGGAAUCGCUAGUAAUCGUGGAUCAGCAUGCCACGGUGAAUACGUUCUCGGGUCUUGUACACACUGCCCGUCGCGCCAUGGGAAUUGGUUUCACUCGAAGCU